Long non-coding RNA from Corvus hawaiiensis (hawaiian crow), 983 nucleotides. RefSeq lists it as uncharacterized. The record is from RefSeq and is a predicted model, not a curated record. The transcript is spliced from 3 exons. NCBI's taxonomy places the organism in Eukaryota, Metazoa, Chordata, Aves, Passeriformes, Corvidae.
GACGGGGCCGGGGGGGUCAGGGGGAAACUGCACCGGGAGCCGCAGGAGCGGCCGGGAGGAGGGGCAGCUCCCGGUCCGGUAGCAGCUCCAAGCGAUGCCGGGAGCGGAGAUGAGCUCCCGGUCCGGUACCGGUGCCGGGGGCAGGGCCCGGACCCGCAGGAGCGGCAGGGAGCGGGGUAGGGACAGGUCCCAGUACCGGAGCAGGGAUGAGGUGCCGGUGCCGGUGCCGGGGGCAGGGAUGAGGUGCCGGGGGCAGGGAUGAGGUCCCCGUACCGGGGUAGGGGCAGGUCCCGGUGCCGGUACCGGGGGCAGGGAUGAGGUGCCGGUACCGGUACCGGGGGCAGGGAUGAGGUCCCGGUACCGGUGCCAGGGGCAGGGAUGAGGUGCCGGUGCCGGUACCGGGGGCAGGGAUGAGGUGCCGGUACCGGUGCCAGGGGCAGGGAUGAGGUCCCGGUACCGGGGGCAGGGAUGAGGUGCCGGUGCCGGUACCGGGGGCAGGGCUGAGGUCCCGGUACCGGGGGCAGGGAUGAGGUCCCGGUACCGGGGGCAGGGAUGAGGUGCCGGUACCGGACAGGUCCCCGCUCGUCCCCCGCGGGUCGGUGCCUCAGGGGCCGAUCUGGGUCAGAGGUGCCCGGGCCGGUCCGGCCGCUCCCGCCGGGAUCAUUCCCGCAGGGAUUUGACCUUUGGGAUCGUUCCCGUCGGCAUUUCCCGCAUGGAUUUAACCCCUGGAAUUCCAGGGAUGAGCCGAACCCGCCCGGUCCAGCCUUGGAGGCGGGAACAAAGGAAUGAAUAAAAGGAAUUUUCUUCCAUCAACUCCCUGGAUUCCCACAAAACCCGUUCUCAUUCCAGCCCCGAGCCUGCUGGAAAGCUCGGGAAUUCCUGAUCCAGCGUUUUUGGGCACCUGGGAGUGAGAGAAAGAAAAAUCCUGGGAGAAGGAAGUUGAAGUAAAGUGCUGGGAAUUUUGAAUGCCGGCACAGAUCUUC